GGGGACGAAGGGACUCGACAGGAGGCGAUGUAGCCGGAUAGCAGGCCGAGGUUGGUUGUCACCCUCGUUAAUCAGGCGACCAAAAAUAGUUGGCAAUCGUCAACUCGCUCUCGCCGCUUAAUUAGCGACGACGUCGUUCCCUAGUCUCGGCCCGGUGGGCCAGGGAAACGGCGCUGCAAUGCCGGGAUGCUGUCAGUGGACGCCGAUGCGACUGACAAAAGACUAUCGGCUGGCCGAAUGACGUGGGGACCGCCACUGUAGCCGUUCGGUGAGAUCUCUAUUGGCGGGAAAGCCUGUAGGAUAAUUCGGAGCUAAACCUAUCUGGACCGGGAGUUCAACUCUCCCGCGUCUCCACCA
This 357-nucleotide transfer-messenger RNA is filed under the name bacterium SCGC AG-212-C10. It matches the Rfam family "transfer-messenger RNA". From Rfam's summary of the family: Bacterial tmRNA, also known as 10Sa RNA or SsrA, is named for its dual tRNA and mRNA-like properties. Its role is to liberate the mRNA from a stalled ribosome. To accomplish this part of the tmRNA is used as a reading frame that ends in a translation stop signal. RNAcentral also lists the same sequence under 1 other name. The record is from Rfam by way of RNAcentral.